GACAGAGGGUGCAAACGUUGUUCGGAAUUACUGGGCGUAAAGCGCGUGUAGGCGGCCAUGCAAGUCGGAUGUGAAAGCCCUCGGCUCAACCGGGGAAGUGCACUCGAAACUGCAAGGCUAGAGUCUCGGAGAGGAUCGUGGAAUUCUCGGUGUAGAGGUGAAAUUCGUAGAUAUCGAGAGGAACACCGGUGGCGAAGGCGGCGAUCUGGACGAUGACUGGACGCUGAGACGCGAAAGCGUGGGGAGCAAACAGG
This 254-nucleotide ribosomal RNA is filed under the name uncultured bacterium. RNAcentral's name for it is "partial 16S ribosomal RNA". It matches the Rfam family "Bacterial small subunit ribosomal RNA", at positions 524 to 776 of the family's 1533-position model. The record is from RNAcentral.